AGGAAUAUUGGUCAAUGGGCGCGAGUCUGAACCAGCCAAGUAGCGUGAAGGAUGAAGGUCCUACGGAUUGUAAACUUCUUUUAUAAGGGAAUAAAGUCACCCACGUGUGGGUGUUUGUAUGUACCUUAUGAAUAAGCAUCGGCUAACUCCGUGCCAGCAGCCGCGGUAAUACGGAGGAUGCGAGCGUUAUCCGGAUUUAUUGGGUUUAAAGGGAGCGUAGACGGGUCGUUAAGUCAGCUGUGAAAGUUUGGGGCUCAACCUUAAAAUUGCAGUUGAUACUGGCGUCCUUGAGUACGGUUGAGGCAGGCGGAAUUCGUGGUGUAGCGGUGAAAUGCUUAGAUAUCACGAAGAACCCCGAUUGCGAAGGCAGCCUGCUAAACCGCCACUGACGUUGAGGCUCGAAAGUGUGGGUAUCAAACAGGAUUAGAUACCCUGGUAGUCCACACGGUAAACGAUGGAUACUCGCUGUUGGCGAUAGACUGUCAGCGGCUUAGCGAAAGCGUUAAGUAUCCCACCUGGGGAGUACGCCGGCAACGGUGAAACUCAAAGGAAUUGACGGGGGCCCGCACAAGCGGAGGAACAUGUGGUUUAAUUCGAUGAUACGCGAGGAACCUUACCCGGGCUUGAAUUGCAGACGAAUUGCUUGGAAACAGGCAAGCCGCAAGGCGUCUGUGAAGGUGCUGCAUGGUUGUCGUCAGCUCGUGCCGUGAGGUGUCGGCUUAAGUGCCAUAACGAGCGCAACCCUCGUGUCCAGUUACUAGCAGGUUAUGCUGAGGACUCUGGACAGACUGCCAUCGUAAGAUGUGAGGAAGGUGGGGAUGACGUCAAAUCAGCACGGCCCUUACGUCCGGGGCUACACACGUGUUACAAUGGGGGGUACAGCAGGCAGCUACCGGGCGACCGGAUGCCAAUCCCGAAAGCCUCUCUCAGUUCGGACUGGAGUCUGCAACCCGACUCCACGAAGCUGGAUUCGCUAGUAAUCGCGCAUCAGCCACGGCGCGGUGAAUACGUUCCCG
Molecule: ribosomal RNA, 1016 nt
Filed under: uncultured bacterium
Lineage: Bacteria
Description: bacterial SSU rRNA
Rfam family: Bacterial small subunit ribosomal RNA
Source: RNAcentral